RNAcentral lists this ribosomal RNA (496 nucleotides) under uncultured bacterium. RNAcentral's name for it is "partial 16S ribosomal RNA". It matches the Rfam family "Bacterial small subunit ribosomal RNA", at positions 28 to 506 of the family's 1533-position model. The record is from RNAcentral.
GAUGAACGCUGGCGGCGUGCCUAAUACAUGCAAGUCGAGCGAACAGACGAGGAGCUUGCUCCCCUGACGUUAGCGGCGGACGGGUGAGUAACACGUGGAUAACCUACCUAUAAGACUGGGAUAACUUCGGGAAACCGGAGCUAAUACCGGAUAAUAUAUUGAACCGCAUGGUUCAAUAGUGAAAGACGGUUUUGCUGUCACUUAUAGAUGGAUCCGCGCCGCAUUAGCUAGUUGGUAAGGUAACGGCUUACCAAGGCGACGAUGCGUAGCCGACCUGAGAGGGGGACCGCCCAAGCUGGAACUGAGACCCGGUCCAGCCCCCGAGGGGAGGCAGCGGUAGGGAAUUUUCCGCAAGGGGCGAAAGCCUGACGGAGCAACGCCGCGGGGGUGAUGAAGGUCUUCGGAUCGUAAAACGCUGUUAUUAGGGAAGAACAAAUGUGUAAGUAACUAUGCACGUCUUGACGGUACCUAAGCAGAAAGCCCCGGCUAACUACGU